UUCAAUUCAGAAUUGCAUACACUCAUCAAGUAGGAAUUCUAUCAGAUGAGCUCUAUGAGGCCAAUAUCUAAAAGCUAAGGUUGAUGGAGGUUUUGGCAGGGACGUGCUGGAGUUUUUGCUGAAAGGAGAUGUGGUUGCUUAUAGAACCAUGGCUACCAGAGUUUCUUGAAAUAGCCCGAAGAUUAACUGAUUGAUAGAGUUGUCGACUUGUGUUGCAGCUGCAGCAGUGUCAUUUAUACAAUUUUUCCCUAAAAUGAAGGCGCAAUACGAUUAUGGUUUGUUGAUGUUUAUAUUGACAUUCAGUUUGGUAUCUGUAAUGGGCUAUCCUCAACCAUCCUCAUUGGUAGUGCCACAGCUGUGUUUGUAUCCAUAGGCAUCUACCCAAUGUGGGCUGGUGACGAUCUUUACAAUCUGGUUGCUGGCAAUGUUGAAAAGCUUGGGAACUUCUUAGAAGGAUUUUCAGGGAAAUAUCUUAGAGUCUCAGGAGAUGGAGAAUCCAAGGAUAGCAAAACAAUUCUUCAAGGAUACAAAAGUAUUUUGACUUCAAAAAUCACUGAAGAUUCCUUGCUUGAGAUCCCUUCUGGACAUAUAUACAACAGAUCUUUCACUUGGACAUAUAUACAAAGGACUCCUAGUUUCUGUUAGUCUCAAGUCAUAGAUUGAUUUUGACUACAAUUGAUUCUGGUAGCAAGGCUCUUGAAUUUCCGAGGCUUGAAAAUGACCCAAACACAAUGAUUGUUUCUCCAAACAGUCAUUAGGUAUGGUUUACAUGAGUGAAGAUUUUUUGGAGGUGCAACUUGAUGGAUAUUGGCCCGCAAAAUUUGGCAUGGAUUCAACCAGAAAUGAACUGGCUUUGGUAUCAAUGGAGCAUCCAAGAUCCUCUGCAUCAAUUACAGGAGGCCCAACCCUGUUAAAUGGUUAUUCAACAGUUCAUACCUCCAAUUUUUUUUGUUGUGACACAGUGGCUUAUUAAUCACCCCAAGUUUCAGAAAAAUCCACUUUACAUCAGUGGUGACUCAUAUUCAGGCAUAAUCAUCCCCAUGGUGGUUCAAGAAAUAUAUAUCCAAUGGUAAUGAUGCAGGGAAAGAGCCAAAAAAUGAAUAUUCAAGGAUACACCAUUGGAAACCCAAUAACAAAUCACUUUAGUGACUUCAAUUCAAGAAUUGCAUACACUCAUCAAGUAGGAAUUCUAUCAUAUGAGCUUUAUGAGGCCAAUAUCUAAAAGCUAAGGUUGAUGGAGGAUUUGGCAGGGACAUGCUGGAGUUUUUGUUGAAAGGACAUGUGGUUGCUUAUAGAACCAUGGUUACAAGAGUUUCUUGAAAUAGCCUGAAGAUUAUUUGAUUGAUAGAGUUGUCGACUUGUGAUGCAGUUGCGUUUGCUGAAAGAUUAUCUAAAUGGCAGUGUCGAUAUGAUUAUGGUUUGCUGAUGUUUAUAUUGACAUUCAGUUUGGUAUCUGUAACGGGCUAUCCUCAACCAUCCUCAUUAGUAGCACCACAGCUGUGUUUGUAUCCAUAGGCAUCUGCCCAAUGUGGGCUGGUGAUGAUCUUCACAAGUUGGUUGCUGGCAAUGUUGAAAAGCUUGGGAACUUCUUAGAAGGAUUUUCAGGGGAAUAUUUUAGAGUCUUAGGAGAUGGAGAAUCCAAGGAUAGCAAAACAUUUCUUCAAGGAUACAAAAGUAUUUUGACUUCAAAAAUCAUUGAAGAUUCCUUGUGCUAAACACAAGGUAGAAUUGGAGCUUUGUGCAAAAAAAAUGCCAAACACUUCCAUGAUCUUAGACUUCUUCAAAGGUUGGGAAAAAUGCAAGCUCUGGAAUGCAUUUCGUGAACAUAUGGGGACAUUGAACAGAUGCCUUGUCCCCAGAAGUCUCCAAGUGAGUAAUGAAAGGAUAUAAAACUGAUUUCCAUGAAGGAUGAAAGUCUCUCUACUGUAUCAGCAAUCGAUGAACCAGUGCAUGCAAUCAUCGUGUUUUCUUCUACAAAUCUAUGUGUGAAAAUUGGUUGGCCACGUAAGCAAAGUUAGUUGAUUAACUAACUGAAAGUGUGAGCUGGCACACCUGUUUGCUUAGCAUUUUUUUUCAUGUACUCGUGUAUAAAAAUGUGAAGAAAAAAAAGGAGAUUUUUGAAUUGUAGAAAAGAAGUGAGAGGAUUUUAGAGUGAGUCUUCUUCACUGUUCUGUAGCGAGAGCUUGAUGGUUCUCAGAGAUUCUUGAGGGUGUAAAAUGGUUCAAUCUUAGUGGAUUUUUGGAGGUGAUCUUGAUCCGUGGAUGUAGGAUUCAAUCUUGGAUCCGAACCACGUAAAUCCUGCUUGUUUUGUUAUGUUUUGAUAUUAGAUAUUAUUUUCUUUUGAUUUAUGGUUUUGUUUUCUUUGUCUU
Vitis riparia (riverbank grape) is the source of this 2369-nucleotide long non-coding RNA. RefSeq lists it as uncharacterized. NCBI's taxonomy places the organism in Eukaryota, Viridiplantae, Streptophyta, Magnoliopsida, Vitales, Vitaceae. The transcript is spliced from 12 exons. The record is from RefSeq and is a predicted model, not a curated record.